Molecule: ribosomal RNA, 496 nt
Filed under: uncultured bacterium
Lineage: Bacteria
Description: partial 16S ribosomal RNA
Rfam family: Bacterial small subunit ribosomal RNA
Source: RNAcentral
GAUGAACGCUGGCGGCGUGCCUAAUACAUGCAAGUCGAGCGAACAGAUAAGGAGCUUGCUCCUUUGACGUUAGCGGCGGACGGGUGAGUAACACGUGGAUAACCUACCUAUAAGACUGGGAUAACUUCGGGAAACCGGAGCUAAUACCGGAUAACAUAUUGAACCGCAUGGUUCAAUAGUGAAAGGCGGCUUUGCUGUCACUUAUAGAUGGAUCCGCGCCGUAUUAGCUAGUUGGUAAGGUAACGGCUUACCAAGGCAACGAUACGUAGCCGACCUGAGAGGGUGAUCGGCCACACUGGAACUGAGACACGGUCCAGACGCCUACGGGAGGCAGCAGUAGGGAAUCUUCCGCAAUGGGCGAAAGCCUGACGGAGCAACGCCGCGUGAGUGAUGAAGGUCUUCGGAUCGUAAAACUCUGUUAUCAGGGAAGAACAAAUGUGUAAGUAACUGUGCACAUCUUGACGGUACCUGAUCAGAAAGCCACGGCUAACUACGU